RNAcentral lists this ribosomal RNA (301 nucleotides) under uncultured bacterium. Its description in RNAcentral is "partial 16S ribosomal RNA". It matches the Rfam family "Bacterial small subunit ribosomal RNA", at positions 509 to 808 of the family's 1533-position model. The record is from RNAcentral.
CAGUAGCCGCGGUAAUACGUAGGGUGCAAGCGUUAAUCGGAAUUACUGGGCGUAAAGCGUGCGCAGGCGGUUAUAUAAGACAGAUGUGAAAUCCCCGGGCUCAACCUGGGAACUGCAUUUGUGACUGUAUAGCUAGAGUACGGCAGAGGGGGAUGGAAUUCCGCGUGUAGCAGUGAAAUGCGUAGAUAUGCGGAGGAACACCGAUGGCGAAGGCAAUCCCCUGGGCCUGUACUGACGCUCAUGCACGAAAGCGUGGGAGCAAACAGGAUUAGAUACCCCUGUAGUCCCUGUCUCUUAUACA